Podarcis lilfordi (Lilford's wall lizard) is the source of this 81-nucleotide non-coding RNA. The record is from the annotation of a GenBank genome assembly. Lineage: Eukaryota; Metazoa; Chordata; Lepidosauria; Squamata; Lacertidae.
UCACACACACACACACACACACAACACACACACACACAAUAUACUGUAUAUGUGUGUGUAUGUUUCUGUGUGUGAAUGUGA